This 737-nucleotide long non-coding RNA is filed under the name Homo sapiens (human). Its description in RNAcentral is "HSALNT0197227". Lineage: Eukaryota; Metazoa; Chordata; Mammalia; Primates; Hominidae. The record is from RNAcentral.
AAGCGCCGCGCGCAGCCCUGGUUCCCGCCCAUGCCUCUCCCUCCACACCACCCCGCAAGCUGAGGGAGCGGGUUGCGGCCUUGGCCAGUCCAGAAAGGGGCUCCCACAGUGCAGCGGUGGGCUGAAGGGCUCCUCAAGUGCAGCUGGAGUGGGCACCAGGGCCGAGGAGGUGCUCAGAGCGAGUGAGGGCUGCGAGGGCUGCCAGCAUUCUGUCACCUCUCAUCAUGAGAUCGGAUGGAUUUAUCAGGUGUUUCCAGUUUUGCUUCUUCGUCAUUUUCUGUCUUGUCGCCACCAGAUAAGAAGUGACUUUCGCCCUCUGCCAUGAUUGUGAGACCUCCUCAGCCACGUGGAACUUCUUUGAGUAUGCUCAGCGCGUGCCAUCAUGGGGCCAUGUUCUUCCCCUUUGCUCUUGGAGAAUAGACAAAGCUACCCAGCCCAGCCACAGCCUCAUAAUCUUGUUCUACCUCCCUCUCCAGCCUCAACUAUUUCCAGGCUCCAGCUCAAGUCAUACAUCAGGAUGGCUUUUCUAUGCAGAUAACUUGACACACAGAGCCCAACUUUGGUCCUGAAUUCUGAGAACCACAGUUCAGAAUAGACGCUAAAACGUCUCAAUGUUAGCAGCCUUCCCCUAUGACUUUAUGAAGUGCAGCCCUACAGGAGAACUCAGGAAGCCACAUCUUCCAUCUGUCACCUUCUGACUGUUGAUCCUGUGAGUUCACAGGCCAGGGGGAUGCUGG